AUUUUAAAAGACUCUUAAGAAAUUCAGACCCAGAUCGAGACCCAGAUGUAAGUACUGAGAUGAAGACCCUGAGCUCUGAAACUAAUAAAUGCAGACAAAGACCAAGAUCCAGACUCUAAGCAAUCACAUCCAGACACCAUCCCAGACAGAUUUGAGCUUGAGCACUGAGAUCUAGAAUGAUGAUCUGAGUAUCUCAGAUGCAGAAAUAAUAAUUGCAACAUAGACCACGACUCACACUCAUACCAUUACCCUUACAACAAGAUCCAGGCUGUGAACGCUGAGACCAAGACCAAGAUGAAGACACUAAAUAAUGAGCACCAGGUAAAGACUUUGACCACUAAGACCAAGAUCAAGAGCCACUAUGAGAAUGAAACCCAGUCCUAGACCAAGAUACUUAGCAAUCUGCAACAAGACCAAGCCCAAGCCACUGAGAACUGCCCCCAGAACAACAGUCUGACCACUGAGAUCCAUAGAGUCACAAAGAGCCACACUCUGAACACUAAACCUGGUUCAAGAACAAGACUCUAAGCCCCAAGACCUAGAGCAAGACUCGACAAACUGAGAGUUUUUGGUGUCUCCAAAUGUCAAGACGCCAAGACCACUUCCAUAAAAAUGCAACACACACCAGCUUUGGGCUCUUUCAUUGCACACUUUCACUGUGCAGACAUGCAGCAGCAUGAUCUCACUUAGAUUGCUUUUUGUCUUAGAUGUUGAUGAAUGCGAUAGCAAGGAACAUGUGUGUGGUGAAGAUGGCACUUGUUCCAACACUGAAGGGAGUUACUCUUGCCGGUGUAAAUCUGGUUACAGUAACUACGGCAACAAUCGGACUAAAUGCACAGAGUUGAAAUGUAACAGGCUCAACGCCACAUCUGAAAAGGAUGUAGCGGCGAUGGGCGGU
Molecule: long non-coding RNA, 898 nt
Organism: Ictalurus punctatus (channel catfish)
Lineage: Eukaryota; Metazoa; Chordata; Actinopteri; Siluriformes; Ictaluridae
Source: Ensembl